UACGUAGGGUGCGAGCGUUGUCCGGAAUUAUUGGGCGUAAAGAGCUUGUAGGCGGUUUGUCGCGUCUGCUGUGGAAUUUCGGGGCUCAACCCCGAACUUGCAGUGGGUACGGGCAGACUAGAGUGUGGUAGGGGAGACUGGAAUUCCUGGUGUAGCGGUGAAAUGCGCAGAUAUCAGGAGGAACACCGAUGGCGAAGGCAGGUCUCUGGGCCAUAACUGACGCUGAGAAGCGAAAGCAUGGGGAGCGAACAGG
Molecule: ribosomal RNA, 253 nt
Filed under: uncultured bacterium
Lineage: Bacteria
Description: partial 16S ribosomal RNA
Rfam family: Bacterial small subunit ribosomal RNA
Source: RNAcentral